Pristis pectinata (smalltooth sawfish) is the source of this 379-nucleotide long non-coding RNA. RefSeq lists it as uncharacterized. Lineage: Eukaryota; Metazoa; Chordata; Chondrichthyes; Rhinopristiformes; Pristidae. The record is from RefSeq and is a predicted model, not a curated record. The transcript has 3 exons.
CUGGGUCCUGCUGAUCAGCCCUGGAGCUGAGUGCCCGGUGAAAGGCGGUGCUCAGGGACCUGCUCCAAGAUCAUGUCUGGAGCAGCAGGCAAGCAGUUCAUAAGUAGCAUUUAAUAGGAUCCCUACUUUCAUUGAGCCCCUGCUGUGCAGCCCUGCAUUACGUCAUUAUCUGAGGUGCGAAGAACCGUACAUAGUUGGUGAAGGUAUUUCUGCAGGGAGAAAGCUGCUGGAUUUUGACCCAGAAUCAGUGAAAGAAAGGCAAGAGCCUGGAAUUUUCUGGCAGAAGUGAACUAUCAGUACUUCUUGUUCCAAUAUUUACUUCCACGCUCAUUUCCAUGUCUCAAUGCUGUUCUUUGUGAAACAAAAUGAAUGUUUUUAA